This 287-nucleotide long non-coding RNA is filed under the name Callithrix jacchus (white-tufted-ear marmoset). RNAcentral's name for it is "lncRNA (ENSCJAG00000074298.1)". The record is from RNAcentral. Lineage: Eukaryota; Metazoa; Chordata; Mammalia; Primates; Cebidae.
GAACUGGGUGGCCAGGACAGCUGUUUCUGAGCUCUGAGAAGUUAAACAUGGCCAAGGAUUCAUGGUGUGCAGCUUUGGAAAUCUAGUCAGAGGCUCCCAUUGACAGCCUCUGGGAAGCUGUUUGGAUAAACUGCUCUGGGUCACGCAUUGGUUUCCCACAUCUGCUCCCCCAGUGACGUCCCAGUGCUAAUUUCUGGUGAAGGAGGGAAAAGACCGCCUGUGCCCAGAAUGUCACUCUUCAGAAGAUUUUGAAGAAUGCUGCUGACAAUGAAAAUGAGGAGUCAGAG